AUUUAUUUAUUGAGACAGAGUCUUGCUCUGUUGCCCAGGCUGGAGUGCAGUGGCGGGAUCUCGGCUCACUGCAAGCUCCGCCUCCCGGGUUCACGCCAUUCUCCUGCCUCAGCCUCCCAAGUAGCUGGGACUACAGGCGCCUGCCACCACGCCCGGCUAAUUUUUUUCUUGUAUUUUUAGUAGAGAUGUGGUUUCACUGUGUUAGCCAGGAUGGUCUCGCUCUCCUGACCUUGUGAUCCACCUACAUCGGCCUCCCAAAUGCUGUUAUGAGGCCAGAGGAGACCAGAUAAGACCUCCCUGUUAUCAACUUUCAGUAGGAAUGGUGUCCCCUGACCCUCCUUCUAUUCAGGGAGAAAAUUUUCCAUACUUAAUACUAAAUUAUCUAACAAGUUCUUAGGGAAAAGCUACUUUACCUCCAGAGUUGUUAAUGAUUUCCUAGCUAAAGAAGUAGCAGUGACUCAGGCUACAUCUAAUUAGCACCCCUGGACAAGGUGGCUACUGAAUGUAACUUUCAGACGCCUCCAGACACACCAAGCCCAGUGGUGGAGUGGAGAAGAGAGCCAAACCUACCCCAGCUCUCAAGGGAAAUGUCAUGUGAAACAUACACUGUUUUGUCCCCUACCAACUUAUAAACAUACACUGUUUUGUCCCCCACCAACUUAUCAAAAUAAUUAAGGGGGCUGAAAAGCAGAAAAGGGCAGUUACUUCAUGUUUCCAAAAGAAUUCACCUUAACUGGGCAAAACAGAAUAUAAGCAGCUGAAGGGGCAGAAACUGGUAAACCAGGCUUUCCUUCUUUCUAAUCCAAUCUCAACCACGAUUAUAAUUCUGGGUGUAAUUCAGGAUAGAAGCUCAGCAGAGCUGUAAAUCAAUUCUUCUUAGAUUUAAAGGUCAGCAUCAAAACAUUCCCUCCUAUUGCUGGCUGAGGUGAAAUGGACACUCCAUAUAUUUGCUGGCUGGCAUGAAAACUGGUACAACACUUUUGGAAAGCAUUUUGGCAAUAAGAUUCAAGAGCUUUUAAAAUCGUUUCUAUUCCUUCAGGGAUCUAAUACUAUUUCUGGAAAUCCAUCUUAAGGAAUUAGUCUGCAAUUAGGAGGGGAAAAAAACCUUUGGGUUCAUGAAAGCAUUAUUCAUUACACAAAAUCCCUGUAAACCACAUAAAUAGCCAUUUUAAAGGAAGUAAGUAAAUUACAGUGAAAUAUGCAACUAAUAAAAUUCUAAGUUUUUAAAAAACAUAGAAAAUGCAAAACAUAUCAAAUGAACAAGGCAAAAAAUGUAUCAAGUAUAAUCACACAUAUAUAAAUGCACAAAAAUAAAAGAAGAACAUUUUUUUAAAAGAUGGUGCA
This 1344-nucleotide long non-coding RNA is filed under the name Homo sapiens (human). RNAcentral's name for it is "HSALNT0022957". The record is from RNAcentral. Lineage: Eukaryota; Metazoa; Chordata; Mammalia; Primates; Hominidae.